UGACGCUGGUGUGAUUCAGGCAGUUUCAGGUUCCUGUGGUUUUUAGUGUCCAGCCCAACAACUUGAAACUACCUACAUCACACAGCUCCA
Non-coding RNA from Xyrichtys novacula (pearly razorfish), 90 nucleotides. The record is from the annotation of a GenBank genome assembly. Lineage: Eukaryota; Metazoa; Chordata; Actinopteri; Labriformes; Labridae.